Molecule: small RNA, 579 nt
Filed under: Pan troglodytes (chimpanzee)
Lineage: Eukaryota; Metazoa; Chordata; Mammalia; Primates; Hominidae
Description: processed transcript
Source: RNAcentral
GAAAAUGCGUUCCUGAGUUUUUACUCUGGAUUCCAGAAACUUAUUUCCCCCUGGCCGUGAGAGGGGGCAGUGAGGUGGAACCUUGGCAAUGGAAAGUACUUCAAACUAGGAAUGUAAACCUUAUAAAGAAGACUGUAUUAAGGAUGCCCCUGCAUACUAUUAUUCCGUUGUUACAAGAGCUUACAAAGAGGUUACAAGGACAUCCUAAUAGUGCUGUGCUAAUGGUUCAGUGGCUAAAAUGUGUGUUAACAGUUCAUGCAUCAUACCUGUCCACGUUGCCUGACCUGGUACCCCAGCUGGGGACACUCUACCAGUUAAUGGAAAGCAGAGUCAAAACUUUUCAGAAACUUUCACACCUUCAUGGAAAGCUUAUUCUUCUAAUUACACAAGUAACAGCAUCAGAGAAAACAAAGGGAGCAACUUCCCCUGGACAGAAGGCAAAGUUGGUGUAUGAAGAAGAGUCUUCUGAAGAGGAGUCUGACGAUGAAAUAGCAGAUAAGGAUUCUGAAGAUAAUUGGGAUGAAGAUGAGGAGGAGAGUGAAAGUGAAAAAGAUGAGGACGUUGAAGAGGAAGAUGAGG